This 450-nucleotide ribosomal RNA is filed under the name uncultured Glomus. Its description in RNAcentral is "SSU rRNA". It matches the Rfam family "Eukaryotic small subunit ribosomal RNA", at positions 569 to 1027 of the family's 1831-position model. The record is from RNAcentral. Lineage: Eukaryota; Fungi; Glomeromycota; Glomeromycetes; Glomerales; Glomeraceae.
AGCAGCCGCGGUAAUUCCAGCUCCAAUAGCGUAUAUUAAAGUUGUUGCAGUUAAAAAGCUCGUAGUUGAAUUUCGGGAUCAAUAUGUUGGUCGUGCCUUGGUACGUACUAAUUUAUUGGUUUCUUCCUUCUGACGAACCUUGAUGUCAUUAAUUUGGUGUCUUGGGGAAUCAGGACUGUUACUUUGAAAAAUUAGAGUGUUUAAAGCAGGCUCACGCUUGAAUACAUUAGCAUGGAAUAAUGAAAUAGGACGUUUGAUUCUAUUUUGUUGGUUUCUAGGAUUGACGUAAUGAUUAAUAGGGAUAGUUGGGGGCAUUAGUAUUCAAUUGUCAGAGGUGAAAUUCUUGGAUUUAUUGAAGACUAACUACUGCGAAAGCAUUUGCCAAGGAUGUUUUCAUUAAUCAAGACGAAAGUUAGGGGAUCGAAGACGAUCAGAUACCGUCGUAGUCUU